AUUUCGGUGUCGGCGGCGGGCGAGAUACAACGGCCGUUCGCGGAGCUGGCGAGCGAGCGGCGCUGAAAAGCAGCCGGAGAGACGACGGCGACCAGUACCGUGUCGACCAGUUCCCGAGGAAAACCGGAAGAGUCAGCCCGGCGAGGUCCCACAUGAGCAAUCCGGGAGCUGAGAAAUGGCGACCGAUGGCCAUAUCAAAUCCGUCCACCAAGUUGCGGAUGGCGAGGUCGAUGCCCCACUGGGUGAUGGUACGUCUUUCUUCAUGACCGCUCACACAGCAGGUCGUAUUCUUCAUCUAUCAUCGCUCUUGUCCAUGAUUGCUCAACAGCAACAACGGGAAGGGGAGCAGCAUCAAUUCCGGCCGCCGACACCUCCGAAGGCCCCGCCGCCGUCGCUCUCCGGCGACUGUGGUGACCCCGACUACGAGAUCAUCGAAUUCCCGACCCGACCGCAAGCCCAGAGACCCUCCACGACGACGACGUCGACGACGACGACGACGACGAUGACGACGACGCAUUCGCAGCCGUACGUCGGUAAGUGCGCCCUGUGCGGCACCGAGAACGUGUUCGCGCGUUGCGACACAUGCAACGCGAACUACUGCGAGGCCUGCGACGACAUGAACCACAAGCACCCGAAGCGGAAGCACCACGUUCGACGGAGAAUCCUGACGGACAACGCGAGCAGAAGCAGCAGACCGCCGUUGCCGCCGAAGGGCGAGAACCUGACGAGCCCGCCGGUGCCGCCGCCGCGAAGAAAUCGCAAGACCACUCAGGCCAAGUCGGCGCUAACCAAAGGAUCCGCGAAUCUGCCUUUGCUCGAUAAGGUCGGCAGCUUGAAACGAAACUUCCCCAACGCGAAGCCGUUGUCCACAAUACCGGACUCGAGCUCGAGAGUGUCCAAGUCCACGAAUACCUUAAAUGCAGUUUCCACCGACACCACAGGAUCAGUAACGGACAAGAUGACCACUCUGCAGGAGAGAUACAGAAAGUAUCAAGAGGCGAUGAAGGCUCAGGACGCGAAUAGGCGACGACACCCGUUGUCCGACACCUCGAGAGAUACCUUGGGCGGGAGACCGCUCAGCGUAGGCAGCCCGAAACCGGCACCGCAGCUUCCACCUCCGCCACCACCCAGAACUAUGAUACAAUCGGCCAGCGUCUGCGACCUGUCGGCCGCUCACAUGUGGAAUCCUGGAAUGCAUCAAGCCCAAUCGGUGGCGCAUUUGGGGCCCGGAGGUAUACCGAUGUGGUACCCGCCGAUGAACUCCUGGGACAUGUCGAUGAGAGGCUCCACCAUGAGCCUGCAUCAUCCGAGCAUGUGGGGAUACCACAUGGGCUACCCGCCGGCGCAGAUGCUGCCGUCGCAGCACUACCCGGGAUCUCUGUCGCGACCGCACAGCCCGGCCAGGAGCGUCAAGUCCAGCCGAAGGUCGAAGGCGGCGUCUCCGUCUCCCAGUCUCAAGUCCAGAAAAUCCUUCGCCUCGCGGUCGCGAUCGAGAAUCUCGCCGGGGUCACCAUCGGACGCGAGCUCAGAGGACUCUGACGAGUCCGACAUAGACGACAGACUCUCGCGAGGCUCCAGAAGCAGACGCGGCAGUGUGCCCAGGAGCAUACGACAGCGAAGCUACCACGACGACGAUGGCGCGAGGAGUCUCUUGUCCAGGAAUCGGCGAGAGAGACUGAUGUCCGAGGAGAGACUGACGAGCGCCGAUGAUCAAUGGUCCGAGAGUGCGUCCAGCAAACGAUAUCCUACGUCGUCGUCGUCGCGAAAACACGACGAGUUCAACAAGAAUAACACCAUCGCCUCCGAACGACGAUACAAUUAUGACAAUCGCUCAGCUCCCAAGGAUCCUCGACUGGAUCGCGUUCAGAACGCGACUUACCGCGACCGUCGGCGCAGCACCGACGAGGAAUCAUCCGAUCGGAAGGUUAACGCGCCCGGGCGAGCGCGAAUGACGAACUCGCCCGACGAUCGCUUUGAGAGAACGGAGAACAUUUCGAAGAGGGCGUCGUCCCUCCGGAGGGACGUACAUACACUGGACGAUCUGGAAAGAUCCUCCGCCCGUCGCGACUCCCACAGAUCGUCCUUCGACAGUGACGUCCAGGCCGCAAAAACACCCUCGCGAGAAGUGACUUCCCCGAAGAGGACAGCCAUGGAGCGAGCGCGUCUCUUGGAGGCGCAAUCUCCUCAAAGAGGACUGACCAGCGACGAUCGAAAGGACGAGAUCGAAUCGCGCUUCGCGAAGAAGGAACAACAGAGUCGCGACGCCUCGCGAGAUCGCGAGGUCUUCGCGAAUAGAGACUCGUCCCAGCGAGGGGAGGUUUCCGAAGACCUCGACAGGAUCUCCGCCAAGCGAAGCUCCAGGAGAUCCUCGCUCGAGUCCGACAAUCAGAGUCUCAAGAAGACAGUGAAGGAGACGUCGACGGGAAAGAAGCGGGACGAGGCUCGGGACUCCCAAUCAAAGACGAUCAGCGAUCCCCGUGUUACAGAGCGUCAACGUUCAAUCGAGAAGGACCAACGAGCUCGGGACUCGAGCAGGACCGGCGACGCUCAGCAGAAGAGGCAAAGCAGCGCUGAUACCAAGCGACAGGAAAUGAGAAGGUCUCAGUCUCAAGAGGACGCGAAAGCCACGAAGACGACGGACGCGAGAGUCACGAAGGCGACAAGCCCGAUCGAGAGCGCAUCGCCGAGGAAGGUCGCAGUGAACGAAGCGGCGAGUCCGAUGGAGAUACCGAAGGAGGAGUGGGCUUGCGAGCAUUGCACCUUCAUCAACAAGAUCAACGAUCGCGUCUGUGUGGUAUGCUGCAAGACGAAGAGCAGCGCGCUGCCGCCGAGCAAACCGGACGACGACCUCCAAGUGGCCGUCGAGCCUGUCGUGCUGCGAGCGCAAGCCAAAAGCAACGAACCAAACGGCGCCGGCGAUCCCGCUGCCGAUCUCGAGAAGAGGACCAAUCUGCUGAAGAUCUCGAACAGUGAGGAGAGCGGCGACAGCGGAUCCAUUAAGAACAAAGAUGCUAUCGUUCCGGACGACGAAACUCCCAUAGAAAAUCUCGAAAGCUGCACAAUCGAGGCUGCAGCUUCGCAGACGGAACACGCCUCGAGGUCCACAGCGACGACAUCACCGGCUAUGGAGAACAAGUCGUCAGAGGCACCAUCGUCAGAAUUGCUGUCCUCUUCAGCUGCCGAUACCUCGAAGGCGGAUCUCAAUAGAAAUUCAUCGCCGCAUCGGGAAAAUGUUCGAGGGCAGGUUGUGAAGAGUCAUUCUGUAUCCACGGGAACGUCCCCUCCGCCGCAGAAUAUUUCGACGCAAACGUAUGAGUAUCUUCCGGUGAGAGGUCCUCUCGGAAGGUCCGCGUCGGUGGCGACGUCCAAGAGCUACUUGUAUUACGACGACAGCGACGGAGAGGAGCAGAGCGGAUUCGCGAACAGUCCCGAUCUGUAUCCGCAGGCGUUCCAAGAGCAGGCGUAUCUGCAGCAACUGAUGUCAGGACCGACCAGGGAACAACGGACCAGGAGAAACUCCGUCGAGUCGACCCACCUCUAUUACCGUUCCAGGGAACCGAGCCAGCCGAGAUACACGGAGGCGGCUUCCACUUCCGGCCAACAAGGUGUCUCAACGUUGACGCGCCAAGGUUUGGAGGUGGUGGAGCUGCUGCGCGACGCCGAGAGGCAGGGCUUCACCACCGACGACGUUCAAGUGGCGUUAGCGCAGGGCGCGGCGAACCCGCUCGACUGGCUGAGGACGCAAUGGCCGCAUCUGGUGGAGACGGUGCAGGUGCUGGUGGCCGCGCAGGGCAAGGAGCUGAAGGAGAACACCGUCGGCGUCCUCUCGCCGGCCGAGGCGAAAGAGGCCCUGCGAUCGGUCAAGGGCGACGUGUGGAACGCUGUCGCCACGGCCAUCCGACGCAGGCAACGGAAGUGCGAACAAAUCAUGGCGAAGGGCAGCUUCGCGCUGGCGGAUGUCGUUAAAGCUCUGGAUAAUAACGCCGGCGUCGAGGACGCGACUCUGCUUGAGCUGCAGCGGAAUCAGCUGAAGCCCUUCUUAAUGAGGAUCUGGGGGCCUCCGGUCGGGGUGGAGAACGACGAGGCUGCACCGCACGAAGACGCAGCGGGUGCGGUCGGCGGCGGGGCGGGGUUGCCCGUGGAACAAAUACCGAAUGUGUCCGAUACGGAGGCGAGGAAGCAGGUAAUGUCACCAAUAGUUGAUCAUUUCGUGGCGUUGCAGGCCGACUUUCAAAAGCAACUGGCGGCCCUCCGAGAACUGGCCGAUAACUGGCGACACGAGAAAGACCCCUCGUACAAAUUGGGUAGUAAGUCUGAUAGUCUGUACGACCACUCCGAUGACGGUAGCACUGUUCUAAUCGAUACAAAUCUGGUACCAAGGGCCGUACAAGCGCUCGACGUAGCGGAGACGAGCGGUCUAGUUGCGCGGCAAAGACAGGCGACCGUAGAUACUCGAGAAGACGCGGCGCGCCCGUCGAACGUCACGAGAUCGUCGGCUGACGACCUGGACCGAGUAGGCGACACCGCGUCGAUCUCCACAGAGCUCCCCGCGAAAAUGACGGUCGACGAUCUCGCGAACGCGACUGCGACCGCGAACGCGCCGGCCAGCAAAGAAAGCGCGACGGAGUCGCGCGCGGCUGGACGCCCCGUGACGAGAAACGACGAGGUCGGUCGCGAACGUACGAUCGAGAAAAUCGCCGAGUCGCCGACUGAGCAGGACGAAACCGUCGCGCCCGUUACCGAGACCGAUCUGCCCGAGCUCGACGACCGGCCGAGCGAGAACGACAGCGUCGCGAACGGAGCGAAGCGAACGGCGCGGUUGCUCGAGGCCGCCGAGAUGAAGACGCACGUUAUCGGCACCGCGGCGUUAUCGAUUAACGAAAUCGCUGCGAAAUCGACGGCGAAUGGAGUCACGAGCCAUUCACCGUCGGCGUUGCCGACGGAAGAACGGGAAAGAUCGCUGUCGGCGAAUAAUGCCGGGGUUGAAGCGUCCUCCACGUCGGCCGAAACUUCCGCGCUCGACGCGACGAAUACGGAACCAGGUCGGUCCUCUCCUCGACGGGAAACUCGGAGCACCGCCGAAUUACGUAAUAUAGCGGGACAGAGCACUACGGAAGCGAACAACGAGGCGCUCGUCGAAGUUGGGAAGACUGCGGAUUCGAGCGAGGAAGCACUUGGGACCUCCGCGCGAGACUCGAGUGCUCCCGAACGAGCGGACAUAUCGAAGUCGCGGACGUCCUCGACCGCCGAUGCGGCGAACCAUCAGACGGAGAAGCAUCGCGACGCGUCGUCCGAGGAAGGGCCUCCCGCGACAGUCGACUCCGACCGGCAGAUUUCAAGGUUCACUUCCGGCCGGAACGAGGACUCAUCGCGUGUCGCGGCGAUGGAGGCUCUGAUGUCGGCCAUGAAGUCGCUGCCGGUGCACUUCCUCACACCCUUCGUCGCAGCGAUGCAGAUGUUGUCGCCGAGGAAGUCAGCGACGGAGGAGGGCGAUGUCGAGGAGGUGACGUCCGACGUGGAGCUGAUGAACCAAUUGAACACCCUGCGUAGCAUGAGAGCCGCCGCCGAAGAGCCGAGUCGAGCGUCCGCGACUGCGACGGCCGGCAACGCGGACAUCAUCCCGACGGGUCUUACCGGAAGCGGCGAGGAAGAGCAUCGUCGCGACGAGCCCGCUUCGCUCGCGAGUGAAACGGACGGAGCGCAGCCGAGGAAGGUUCUUGCCGGCGGCAAGGAGACGGCGACCAGAUCGAAAACUCCGGACUUUCGGCUGCUGGCGAGGUCCCGUUCCAGCGUUCCGGACAUUAGGGAGCAACACCAGGACGUCAGAUCGGUAUGUACAGACUCGAGCGAGCUCGACGCUUCGCGAACUAACGUCGCGACGUCCGAGAGCCCGCUGCCGGACCCGGUGGGCUCACGGCCCACGUUGACCGACGGAGACGUUCCCGGAGACGAGCCGUCGGCCACGAAUCAAGCGGAAACGCCGGCGAGUCGCGGAGCGAAGAAACUCACGGUCGAGGCGUCGCGGACGGACGCCGUCGCGAGGGAAGUACAAACGCGCGAGGGUUCUCGAGAGACGGUCGACGUGAAGACCGCGAGAAGUGACGAUCGGGAGACGAGCGAGUCGUUGGGAGCAUCUCCGAAGCACGCUGAGCCUGCGAUCGCGCGGAAGCCGCUCGCGCUUGCGAUCAUACUCCACGACACAUUGACCGACGUGUCAUCAUCGUCAUCAUCACCGUCACCGUCACCGUCAUCGUCAUCGUCAUCGUCAUCGUCAUCGUCAUCGUCACCAUCAUCAAAGGAAGCGAAGGACACUUCCGUCGCACGUAACGACAAGCUUGCCGCCGAUAACGCCGAUAACGCAGUCAUUGAACCGCUUGAAGUCAAGGACGACUCGUCGCGAAACGAGACUUCCCCGCCCGCCGCUGUUGCGAGCCUUCCUCACCCGGAAGAACUCAGCCCUCUCGUCGGCAGGGAGCAAUCGAUAACCGCGGAAAGGAGCGUCGCCCGACGCCGAGUUCCCGGCGCCGAUCGUCCGACCGAUCCGUGCGCGCUGAUAACGAACGCGACUAAUGAGCUGCCUGCGAGCGCACGAGACAUCGACGCGGGGAUCCUCGAUCGCACCGUCGACGUCGAGUCCACCACAGCCGACAGAAGCGACGCAAGAGCGAGCGUUCCCAAAAAUGCGCUGCACGUUUCGGAAAAAGUGGAGCAGACGAUUUCGGUUACAUAUCGCGUGGCCGCGGGCGACGAUAGAAACGGCAGCACGUCGGGGGAGAACGUGCCAUUCGGGCGAAAUGCAGCCGAUAAUUUAUCCAUUGUCCAGUCGCAAAUCAAUGAGAGUGUCCCGCCGAUACCGAUAGACCCGCACGCUCCAGUUGCGAUGAAUUGGAGCAAUUUGUGCGAUCAGAAGGAGGCAAUCGCAACUUCCAACAGCGCGGCGGACGCUCGAUCGUCGGCAGGAGCUGCGCAGGACGAUCAUCCAGCCGGUCAACGAGCGAUCACACUCGCGAUCGAUCGGCCGGCAGGGCCACAGAAAACGAUACCGCCUUCUCGCCCCGGCGACAGAGCCGCCGGGGUCAUCGUCCACGUCAGCGAAACGUCCGAGGACUCUGAGACUGCCGCAACGGAAAUAUUGGGAAGCAGCGAAGCGGACUCGCUCGAUCACCGUGAAAGCUCAGAUCCGUCGAAUGUUGAAGAGCUCGCUGGCUCCGCUGUGAGCAACGUCGAGGCGAACAACCGGGAAUUCACGGACACUAAUAACAACAACGGGCUGCCUCGAGGGUGCGUCGCCAGCGCUGCCGCCGCGGACUCGAGCGGGAGUGUUUCGCAUUCCAUCGGGCGAGUCGGGAAACUCGAUCUGGGAAAUGAAGUUUCCCAGCGAGCCCCCGACCACGGGAGAGGAGACGCGCGAGCGGCCUCGCCACCGGCGAGGAGAAGUAUCUUGCAAGCGCUCAAAGAGAAUCUCAAUGUAUUCUUCGCGUCGCACAGCGACGGGAGGAACACCGUCGCGAUGACGGUUAACGAGCAGUCCUCCUCCCCUCCGUCGACCCCUCCUGUCGCGGCGAGUAUCGGCGAGGUGACGUCCGGAACAGCUGAUACCUUCGAGAUCAAGAUAUCCGAGUCGGCCGUGAUAACGGUGAACGAUUGCGCGCCGAUCGGCGACAUCGCCAACGUCGCUGAACGUCGCCGAGAGGCGGCUAGUAUCGGAGAUAUUGACGCGAUCGACGUCUCGGCGAGAGCGGAAAACGUCGCGCCGUCGCCGUCGCCGUCGCCGCCGGAAAAGCGAGUCUCGGCGGUCGCGGCGUGUAACGAACCGUCCGAAUUGCCGUCGAAAUUGCCGAGUAACGACUCCACGCCGGCGGAGGAGGACCGCGCCGAUCUGCGGUCGAGUCAAGGUCGUAAGAACGCGAUCGCGAGACCCGUCGUAAAACCGAGAUCCAGGUCUCCGGUGAAAAAAGUCGUCCGCCGAAGAUCGCCUGUUAAAACAGCGAGGAGGUCCGGCGGCACUCCGUGGAGGAAUUCCGCGGGGAUCAGCACGAGCCCGAACAGCACGACCGUCACGAGGGCGAGGGAGACGGCCAGCGAGAUCGCGGAAAAGUCGAGUCUCUCGCAGCGGACGACGAGGAACGGCGAGCCGCGAAUGAAGCCUUCGAGGCCCGCGUGUAUCGCGCACGAUAAAGCGGACAUCAAGGACAAGUCGUCGCUCGCGUCGGACAAACCGAUCAAACGGCCGUUAGUCAGUUCCAGCGUGCGGAAAAGCGCGGGAGGUGUUAAGCCGAGCGACCGGAAAAAGCCUUCCGCGCUCGGCACGGAGAAAACGUCGAUGACAACCGUUAACGGGACUAAUCCGGAGCCGCAAGGUAAGCCGCUCGUUGCGAGGAAAGACAACGACGAUAGAUCGGAGACCCACAAAUCCGAACGCGUCACAGUACAGAGAAACGGGGAUGCUCGAGAUGAGAAAUCGGGCAAAUCGAGAACGAAGACGAAGACGGAGACUCCCGGGAAGCGAGCGGUAAAGAAGAUCGCGCUUCACGAAGCAGAAGCGAAAACCUCGAGAAAUGACGGAACGCCGGUGGACGCUGCGCCGACGCAGGGCAAAACUGAAGGCAAUUCGAGAUCCAAAGCGACUUCACCGUCAAAAAUACCCGUUUUAAUGUGUCGAAAAACUAGUCAACAGACAGGCCAGACAGGCCAAACUCCCUUGUUAAGAGCCCCCCCCCAAAAUUUGAGGGACACGUCAGUCCUGAAGAGUGUCUCGACCAAAUUACCGGUACCUUCGCAGGUCACUUCAAGAUUAACUCUGAAGAUACAAAGUAAGACGCUGAGUCCUUCAGCGGCACUUUCUGCCAGCGAUGGGAUUAAAUCCAGCACCGUGAGGGCAUCGCCGAUCGAAGAAAGCACGGAAGACGCUCGAAACCGGCAGAUCCCGAAGGAGAUCUGCACCGAGGAAGGCGGCGAGAAACAGCAAGCCGUGGAAGAGGCGGCAGCUCAACCGACAGACUCGGAAUCAAAGUUAAACGAGAAUUCGCGAGGGGCGGAAUGGACGCGCAACGAUCCGUCCGCGAAUCUCGGCGAGCGAACGGAGGUCGUUGAGGACGCGAUCGGGGAAAGCUCCGAUCCUCUCACUUCCGACUCCGAGUACUCGGAGGAAGACGAAGACACCGGAACGGCGCGGUACAUCUCCGAUCGUAACUCGGAGUACAGUUCCGUCGAAGAGUUCACGGACGCGGAACUGUUGUUGGAGAAAACGUUGAGUGAGAUAAGAUCCGAGAUAUCGGAGGACGACGAGGAGGAAGAGGGAGAGAGGGAUGAAGAGGAGGACGAGGAGCGAAGGAGCGAGUCCGAGGGGAGCGAGGACAUCACUUAUUCCUACGAGACGGAAAGCCACGAUCCGAGCCGCGAGUCUUCCGUGUCGUCCGCAGGUUUAGCCGACAAACAGCGACGGAUAGACUCGAGCGACUUGGAAGACUCGGCCGAGGAAGAUCGGUACGAGGAACUACCGUCCGAGAGCGAAGAGACGAGCGAGCAACUCCAAGUCUCGAACAAACAACUCGAAACGAAGGAGGAAACAGUCAACGACGCGCCAUGCGGCAAAGCGGACGAUCCUCUUCCAAGCAAGACCCUCUUCCGCGUCUCACACGAAGCGGACAGUGACAUCGAAGUGAGAACGGCAGAAGGUGAAGUGAGUAAACCGGAGCUAUCGACGGAAUCUACCGUUCCGCUCGCGGACUCGAUUCAAUCCCAAGCUACGGGAAAGGAAAUGGACGAAAAAACACUGCCUGUUCCUGAAGACCUCGAGCUCACGGAUUCUAAUACUCCCACGACGGGCCCGAAGCUCGAGCGGCUCGAAGGAGACGUCCAGCCGCUGGAGACCAGCUCCAAGGAAAGCGAGACGAAACCCGAGGGCAAGGCCGAGCGAGAGCCUCAGAGAUCAGCACCGGCCAUGGGGCAAAAUGGCGCAGCGAAGCUGUCGAGAGUCGCCAGCGAGAAGCGCGCCAAGAUAAUAAGCCGAAGGGCGAGCACGGGCAGCAGAGGGCUGAAGAGCGAGACGGACGACUCGCCCAAGGGGCCGAAUCGGGCGGGCGCGCCCCGGAAACGGUUCUCCCUCGUGGCCAGCUGCAUCCGUCGGUUCGAGGGCGAAGAGAGUGCCGAGAGGGCACGCGACAGCAAGGGCAACAGCAAGGUCGCUCGACGGCAGAUGUGGCGCGACGACACGCGAGGAUCUCCCAAAACGGAGCGGGAGGUCAGUAGUAGACGAGAGCUACCGGACUAUGACACCCACCAGCACGAGAGAAACAGAAAGACCCCUUAUAGACGUUUGCCAAAGAAUGAAAAAAAAAAGAAAGACCCGAUCGAGUCGACGAGUUCACGCCGCGAACCGAGUCACCCCGUCGAGACCUCCCGUCCCGUUGGCGGGCCAAACGUUCACGAACGACUCGAGAUGCCGGACGGGAAGCGAAAGUCGAGAGCGCGAGCCUCGUCGAACGGCUGAACAGACUCCCUCGGGAUACUCCAACCCCUUUGAUCGUUGAUCGCUGAUAAUGUAGCUUGACCGCGAUGUAACGGGCGCGUUGAGAAUCAGUGACUAACAUUCCGGGCGAGGAGAAUAGCGCGUCGCCUGCUGGCGGAGGGUCGAGCGGCGAAUUACGAUGAGGCCGAGGUGGCCGCUAGUCUGCUGGCCCUCAAGUUCGGCGACGCCGAGGCGCUCCAGGCCGCGAAGGAAUGCUCCAGCGUGGAGUCGGCCCUGGCCUUCCUGCAGCAGGAGUGCGAACUGUGCACCGG
RNAcentral lists this unclassified non-coding RNA (10782 nucleotides) under Harpegnathos saltator (Jerdon's jumping ant). RNAcentral describes it as "uncharacterized LOC105186622, transcript variant X9". The record is from RNAcentral. Lineage: Eukaryota; Metazoa; Arthropoda; Insecta; Hymenoptera; Formicidae.